UGGGGAAUAUUGCACAAUGGGCGCAAGCCUGAUGCAGCCAUGCCGCGUGUAUGAAGAAGGCCUUCGGGUUGUAAAGUACUUUCAGCGGGGAGGAAGGUGUUGAGGUUAAUAACCUCAGCAAUUGACGUUACCCGCAGAAGAAGCACCGGCUAACUCCGUGCCAGCAGCCGCGGUAAUACGGAGGGUGCAAGCGUUAAUCGGAAUUACUGGGCGUAAAGCGCACGCAGGCGGUCAGUCAAGUCGGAUGUGAAAUCCCCGGGCUCAACCUGGGAACUGCAUUCGAAACUGGCAGGCUAGAGUCUUGUAGAGGGGGGUAGAAUUCGAGGUGUAGCGGUGAAAUGCGUAGAGAUCUGGAGGAAUACCGGUGGCGAAGGCGGCCCCCUGGACAAAGACUGACGCUCAGGUGCGAAAGCGUGGGGAGCAAACA
This 427-nucleotide ribosomal RNA is filed under the name uncultured bacterium. RNAcentral's name for it is "partial 16S ribosomal RNA". It matches the Rfam family "Bacterial small subunit ribosomal RNA", at positions 355 to 774 of the family's 1533-position model. The record is from RNAcentral.